This 2263-nucleotide ribosomal RNA is filed under the name Strombidium sp. RNAcentral describes it as "large subunit ribosomal RNA". It matches the Rfam family "Bacterial large subunit ribosomal RNA", at positions 407 to 2850 of the family's 2925-position model. Lineage: Eukaryota; Ciliophora; Spirotrichea; Strombidiidae. The record is from RNAcentral.
UUAGAGUAAAUUAUAAAAUGUACUUAUAUAAUUGAACAUAAAAGAAUCAACUUUUAAGGCUGAAUUGUUUAGUUUCGACAGUAAAAAGUACUGUGAAGGAAAGGUGAAAAUUAAUCAACAUAAGAAGUGAAAAUUAUUGAAACUUAAUGUAAAUACUGUUAAAGCGUAAGUGAUAACGUACCUUUUGUAUAAUGGACUAAUAAGUUAAUAUAUAUUGCAAGUUUAACCAUUGGGGAGACGUAUGUAAUUAAAAAAAAAGUAAUAUGUAUUAGACCCGAAGCUAAUCGAUCUAAUUAUGGACAGGUUGAUGUAUAUCUGAGGACCGAACCCGUAACUGUUGCAUAAGUUUGGGAUGAUCUGUAAUUAGGGGUGAAAGGCCAAUCAAGAUUAGUGAUAGCUGGUUCUCCACGAAAAUUAUAUGAGUAAUAAGCUUAUGAUAAUUUACUUAGGGUAAAGUAAUCUUUGAAUAUAGUGGUAGAAUAUCUGACUAAAUUUUUAGAAACUUAAAAUAUAGGUAAAUAAUUAUAAGUAUUCAGACAUAUUCGCGCUAAGGUGAUAUGUCGAGAGGGAAACAGCCCAGACCACAUGAUAAGGUGCCUAAUAAUAACUAAGUUAAAAGGUGUAGUUAUAAUAUGUUAAUUAGGGGAUAGGAUUGGAAGCAGCCACUCAUUAGUGAAAGCGUAAAAGCUCACUAAAUUAAUUUAAUAUAUCAAUUUAAUAUACUUAAUUAUAAUUACUGCGAUAAUGUAUAGGCGUUAAAGUUAUUAACCGAAGCAGUGGAAAUUUUUAUAAAUUUGGUAGUGGAGUUUGCUGUAUUUUGUUGAAGAUUAAUUGUGAAAUUAGUUGGAGAAAUCAGUUUAAAUAAUAUUAGUAGGAGUAACGUAAAAUAAUGAACAAAAAUCAUUAUCACCGUAAAUUCUAGAAUUUCGCUAAGAAAGGAAAACUUGAGUGCUACAUUCGUUCUCUAAAAAAAAGAUUAAAAUCGUAAGUUUAAUGAGCAGACCGCUAAUUUGACUUUAAAACUAGGAUUAUGAUGCGCUAUUUAUGUGUUAUAAUUUUAUUUUUAAACUAGAAAAAUAUUAGCGGCUCUUGAUGAAAAUUAAGAUGAAUCCAUAGAACGUAUUAAAUCUGACACAAGUGAAUAGGUAGAAUAUACUAAGGUGAUAGAAGAAUAUAGUUGAAGGAACUCGGCAAAAUGACUCUGUAACUUCGGGAUAAGGAGGACUCUAUUCUAAAUAGAGUAUCUAAAAAUAGGGGGCGGCGACUGUCUACCAAAAACACAGGACUUUGCUAAAUUUAAAAUGAUGUACUAGGUCUGACACCUGCCCAGUGCUUUAGUGUAAAAAAUUAUGGGUAAAGCUUGUAGUAUAAUCAGAAGUAAACGGCGGCUGUAACUCUGACGGUCCGAAGGUAGCAAAAUUCAUUGGCGGGUAAGUUCCGUCCUGCAUGAACGGUGUAACGACUGCCCCGCUGUCUCCAACUAUAAUCUAGUGAAGCUGAAAAGUAGGUGAAAAUGCCUCUUAAGAACAACGGGACGGAAAGACCCUGUGCACCUUUACUAGAACCUUAUAUUACUUUUGUGUUAAAAUACUUAAUAGUAAAAUUUAAAUUUUUAAAUUUGUUAUACUAUUUAUAUUUCAAUCAUUAGACUAGGGUACACCAUAUGCUGUACUUAAAAUUGUAAGGAUGCUAGUUUCACUGGGGCGGUGACCUCCUAAAAAGUAACGGGGGUGAACAAAAACUUUGUAAAACAUAUAUGCUAUGUGAUCAUUACAAUGAAUUAAACUUAGUUUGAUUAUUAAACUUAUAGGUUUAAUAAGGGUAAAAAAUUUACCUGUCAUAGUGACCCGAUACUUUAUAUUGAUAUAAGUAUCGAUAAGCAGAUAAAAGGUACGCCAGGGAUAACAGGCUAAUAACCCCCAAGAGUUCCCAUCGACGGGGUUGGUUGGCACCUCGAUGUCGGCUCAUCAUAUCCUGGUUGAGAAUAAUCUUCCAAGGGUCGGUCUGUUCUACCGUUAAAAUGGUACGUGAGCUGGGUUCAGAACGUCGUGAGACAGUUUGGCCCCUAUCUGUUGUUAAGCUGUAAAAAAUAAUAGGACACUGCUUUAGUACGAGAGGACUGAGAUGUAACGAUCACUGGUAGAACAAUUGUAAGGCAAAAUUGCAAGUUGUUAAGCUACAUCGUGAUAAGAUAAUUGCUGAACGAAUAUCAAGCAAGAAGCUUACCUAUGAAUUUUUUCUAAAAAUAUAUUAAAGAACAUAA